GGGGGUGUACUGGAUUCGACGGGAUGAGUAACACCGCAGGUUGCAUGUCGAGGAUGUCCAAUGGUUCUCGUAAAACACCCAUUAUGGAAAUUAAAAUAAUUGACAACAAUUAUUCAUACCGCUUAGCAGCAUAAACUGCUUGAGCCGUUCCGCUGAAAGCGUGCCUGUCAGCGUCAGUUAGGAACGCCAUAACAGAUAGGAUAGCGUAGCAGAGUUUUCUGUCUCUGAUACGUGAAACUUUUACAGAAUAGUGAGGCGUCGCUUGGUUGCUAGGCUCGGCGUCUUGCGAAUGUUAAUUAGCAACUAAACAUGUAGAUAUUUGCAGGUUUGCCUUUUCGGACCGGGGUUCGACUCCCCGCAC
This 361-nucleotide transfer-messenger RNA is filed under the name Balneolaceae bacterium. It matches the Rfam family "transfer-messenger RNA". From Rfam's summary of the family: Bacterial tmRNA, also known as 10Sa RNA or SsrA, is named for its dual tRNA and mRNA-like properties. Its role is to liberate the mRNA from a stalled ribosome. Lineage: Bacteria; Pseudomonadati; Balneolota; Balneolia; Balneolales; Balneolaceae. The record is from RNAcentral.